UACGGAGGGUGCAAGCGUUAAUCGGAAUUACUGGGCGUAAAGCGCACGUAGGUGGUUUGUUAAGCCAGCUGUGAAAUCCCCGGGCUCAACCUGGGCACUGCAGUUGGAACUGGCAAGCUAGAGUAGGGUAGAGGGGUGUGGAAUUCCAGGUGUAGCGGUGAAAUGCGUAGAUAUCGAGAGGAACACCUGCGGCGAAGGCGGGUUGCUGGGCUGACACUGACGCUGACAGCGCGAAAGCGUGGGGAGCGAACAGG
This 254-nucleotide ribosomal RNA is filed under the name uncultured prokaryote. Its description in RNAcentral is "partial 16S ribosomal RNA". It matches the Rfam family "Bacterial small subunit ribosomal RNA", at positions 524 to 776 of the family's 1533-position model. The record is from RNAcentral.